CGGGGCAUAGCGCAGCCUGGUAGCGCGCCUGCUUUGGGAGCAGGAUGUCGGAGGUUCAAAUCCUCUUGCCCCGACCA
RNAcentral lists this transfer RNA (77 nucleotides) under Desulfobacteraceae bacterium 4572_19. Its description in RNAcentral is "tRNA-Pro". It matches the Rfam family "tRNA". Rfam says of the family: Transfer RNA (tRNA) molecules are approximately 80 nucleotides in length. Their secondary structure includes four short double-helical elements and three loops (D, anti-codon, and T loops). Further hydrogen bonds mediate the characteristic L-shaped molecular structure. tRNAs have two regions of fundamental functional importance: the anti-codon, which is responsible for specific mRNA codon recognition, and the 3' end, to which the tRNAs corresponding amino acid is attached (by aminoacyl-tRNA synthetases). tRNAs cope with the degeneracy of the genetic code in two manners: having more than one tRNA (with a specific anti-codon) for a particular amino acid; and 'wobble' base-pairing, i.e. permitting non-standard base-pairing at the 3rd anti-codon position. Lineage: Bacteria; Pseudomonadati; Thermodesulfobacteriota; Desulfobacteria; Desulfobacterales; Desulfobacteraceae. The record is from RNAcentral.